This 359-nucleotide unclassified non-coding RNA is filed under the name Hevea brasiliensis (rubber tree). Lineage: Eukaryota; Viridiplantae; Streptophyta; Magnoliopsida; Malpighiales; Euphorbiaceae. The record is from RNAcentral.
GAGAGAGAGAGAGAGAGAGAGGUUAAUAUUUUUUUAUUUUAUUAGCAUGUGCGAGAAAUGAGCCAAAAAUUUUCUAAAUCUAGGAUUUAUUGGUUUCAGGAAUAAAACUAUAAGGGUCAAGUAGAUCAUAAUACAAGUAGACUAGAGGGUACCACCACUUUUUUCAUUUGAAGCCCGGAGUCAAUUUAUGUGUUCAGCCUUUUACCUUUCAAUGAUUAUGCAUAUGGUUUAACCACGGUCAAAUAGGAUCAUGAUGCACCUACUCUGCCCUUUUUGUUUUGACUUGUGAGACUUUUAUAUGCAUGGAUAAUAGACAUGCCAGCUAUGUGAAACUUCUUUAAACAUUGAUGUGUAACAGG